This 2015-nucleotide long non-coding RNA is filed under the name Strigops habroptila (Kakapo). RNAcentral's name for it is "lncRNA (ENSSHBG00005001439.1)". Lineage: Eukaryota; Metazoa; Chordata; Aves; Psittaciformes; Psittacidae. The record is from RNAcentral.
CUAUAAAGAAUGCCAUGUAUUUUUACUAGAACACAGAUGACAAGUAUGUACAUUUAAAUCUCCAAUUACCCACAUACAACUAGGAAAACAUUUACAAGGGUUUAGAUAGGCAACUAAACAAUCAGGUUAAAAAAAAACCAAAACCAGUUAGAAAAACUAAGGCUCACCAAUUUCAAAGGAACAAAACCAGAAAGCACUCAAGCCUUAAAAAAAUGAAACAAAAAUUUCAAGCUAAUGCCUAAAUUUAAUUAGGUAUCUUGCUUGUAACAAAAACCAACAGCUAUCCAAGCUUAGAAGCCACACUGUAAAUAAAAUGUCAAAGAAGUUCUGACAAAUGUUUUUCAAAAUGCAAAUCAGAACUAAAAUUAUUGGCACAGAAAGCAAAAAGGGAAUGAGGGAAAAAAGCCUGUACAGUUUCCAAAAUGGUAUCUUGUUCUUCUGAAGAAAUAUUUUUGACCUGUCAAAACACGUAGUCCAGUAGAAAUCUAUCUUAAAAAAAAAACCCAACCCUCUACUUCUAAAAAAUGAACCUCCAGAAAAAACAAUUUCUGUUGCUAAAGCACUGCCACCCCUAAGUCACUACUUGUUGGUUUUGUCUUUCAAGGUAAAGGACACAGCCUUAAGAUAGUAUUUUCAACGUUACUUAUAAAAAUCAGUAUUUGAAAGAAAUACAGUAUUUCCUCACAGACUACUUUGUCCUUUCAUCAGCAAAAAGAGGUGAAAUACCAUUGAACAAACAUCAAAGAGCACAGCAGUAGCCAUCAUGGCAUCAUCACCAGCCCGUAAGUUACCAAACUGCUAUUUCCUGAGCGUGCACAGGAAAUCGCCAGCAACAUUUAGUAAACCAAAACCCAGUAAAAAUUCUACUACAGAUGCAGUUAUACAUGAUGUGCAUUAGGCAUAUUCCUUUUUGGUGUCUAUCAGGGUCUUUGGAUUUUUUUUCUGUACACUUUUUUUUUGUUCCAUUAAAAAAAUUCUAACAAAUGAAACUCACAAUAACAAGAGAGUAUUAUCUAAAUUGCAACACAGUACAUUUAUCAGUUAAAUCUAAGUAUUCGGAACAGGCAGAAAUAAGGGGCUUAAUAUGGGGAUCUCACUUCUCAAUUCACAAUGAUGACUCAGUUUAACUCAUGUUAUUUCCCCCCUGCUAUUCCCUCCCUGCUAUUUCCAUUGCCAGCAAUGGAAAUCUAUAUGCGAGUGAGAAAUUACACUCUCUGUAAAAAGAGCAACAAUCUCCUUAAAUCUAUUUCAAUGUGGAGUAAAAUAUCAGUUCCUGCAUGAAAUGCUUGUAAAUUUACUUUUUUAUUUUAAGAUAUCUAUGCAAUGGAACAUUACUUACCUGCUGCCUCUCCAGUAUUAGCUAUUCCCCAUGUAUCAGCUACAGGCAGGUUAUUUCUUCCUUAAACUUAUUACACAUAGCAAUAAACAAUGUUUUUAAGAAAAAGUUACAACAGUAACUUGGUUUGUAACCAAGACCUAUUCACAAAAAGCAGGAAAUGAGUCAUGACUCGUUUGAUACAACUUUCCGUUUUACAAAAUUUUAAAAGGCAGUUUUCAUUUCCAAACAGGAUUAAACACGUCAAAUAUCUUCUCAGUAGCAAAUAGUUCAAUAAACACCAGUGAUCCCAUGCAUGAGGAACUGAAGUACACAAUUUAGGGGAAAAAAAAAUUGGGGGGAAGAGUCUGAAGCUGUAGCCAAGUCCAACAGCAUCAACCUGGCUGCAGGAAACCUGGCCAAGUGAUAGGUGACAAAAAUAUCAGAGCAUUUCAGACUUAUGCAAAACUUCUGCAGUUGCACAGGCUACUGGUCCCAACUCAGUAAAGCAUAAAAAUCACUGAUGUAUGCAAAGAAGGUACUUAAAGCGUAUGUUUACAUUCCUUGAAAUCUAUGGAACGUAAGCACACACUUUAAAUGCUCUGGAAAACCAAACUGAUUUAAGUGCUUUCCUGAACAGGGUUAACAUCUUAGGUCAGCUGUAAAAAUCUUCAAAAUCGGAAAAAAAAAAAAAAAAAAA